RNAcentral lists this long non-coding RNA (612 nucleotides) under Heterocephalus glaber (naked mole-rat). RNAcentral describes it as "lncRNA (ENSHGLG00000032189.1)". Lineage: Eukaryota; Metazoa; Chordata; Mammalia; Rodentia; Bathyergidae. The record is from RNAcentral.
GAAAAACAAAAAAAGAAGCAAAGAACCAGCCCAAGCCUUCCUCAGAGACUUCUCUGCGGUUGGACCUGAGUGAGCCUCUGGUCACAGGUUGCUCUCUGGGUCCUGCCCUUCACUCUUCCCUUGGUGGUAGCUACUUGAAGUUGAUGUUUGUGUCCAUGUCUACGGGGAUGGCUUUAGAAGGAGCAUCAUCAGUGCUGCAGCCACAUAUGACCCUGAAGUCUGGUGUCAUCCCAUCUCCUUCUAUGGUCCUGCACCCUCUCCCGCCUGACCCAGUCCCAGUACACCAGCUAUACUGGGAGCCGCCCCCACCACCCUUUGGGAAUGCACCACUUCCUCAGGGUAACCCCCUGGUGCUUUCCCCUUUCCCCAUGACACCUGUGAUGGCAGGACAUGGUGGCUAUGGCAAGCCUGGGGCUGGGCCUUUCAACAUCACGGCCCAAGCCAGGAGAGCAAGGAGGCCAGCAGGGUCCCUGCCCACUCAGAGCACUCUCCUCACUCAGGCCCCAGGCAUGAGGGGUGCCCCGGGGGUCCAGCAUUGGGCUGUGCAGAAUCCUGCUCCCCUGCAGCUGAGAGCUCCCCCCACGACCACCUUCAUGCCUGCCCCAAUUUGGG